Molecule: long non-coding RNA, 7658 nt
Organism: Bombus huntii
Lineage: Eukaryota; Metazoa; Arthropoda; Insecta; Hymenoptera; Apidae
Exons: 6
Source: RefSeq, a predicted model, not a curated record
AUCUGAUAAAUUACAUAUCUAAGGCAAAAUAUAGUCGCUUCUGUAAUUAAAUACUAAUAUAAUAUUUCUCUAGAAAACAUGAAUCACAGUUUCAAUCUUCCAAAGAUAUUUUCAAGAACAUCGGCGCAAACUAGAAAUUAUUCGUUCAAAGGACGAAACUAGUGGUUAGGAUCAUGACGUAAGAGCAAUUGUUCAAGCCUUCUUCCAAGCAGGUUCUCGAACCGAGCCUCGAGAAAAAAGACGAAGAAUGGGAACUCAUUGUCAGUCGUUUCCAUGGCAGACAACGUUAAUUAUUUCGUGUCUGUGCAGGUCCGCGAAAAUGCGACCACAGGAGCCACUAGGAAUUCCUCUUUUGUCGGUCAAUCAGCUGAUUCCUAGAACGGCUAGAACCGAGCGAGAGCGUCUAGUAAAGUUCCGAAGCGACUUGGCUCGUUGUACGGUCGCGGUCGCGUGGUUUCAAGGACAAGGCAAGGUUGACACGCGCCGCCACUCGCGAACAGCAAGUGGGGGGUCUGGCUUCGUUUCAUUCCCUCCACGUUUGCUUUUCUCUCCCGUUUCAGCAUCGCUCUAUGCCUCGGUGCCUUGCUCUCUAUCCCCCACACGCUUCCGCGCCGCGGUUGGUGACUGCCUUCGCUCGCAGACCUCGUCGUCAAUCUCUUACUGAUAAGUGCUAUCCGGUGACACGCUGCUGGAGCGAACGAUGAUUAUCUGUCCUCGUAGAAAAACGCUGCUGCGAAGGCUUCUGCCUCCUCUAUCUUUCUCGUUCUGGUUUCGUUUGCUGGAAUCUUGCUCAAGAUCAUGGCAGAUUCGCGUUGCAGCGCAUUAAACGGGAAUUUGUUGCAAUGGAUCGACAGAGAGAUUAAGUCGUAGUCUCUUGUACUAUUAAAUUAGGUUAAAAGUUCAUGCCCUUUUAUCUAUGGUUAGUCCCUCCCUUAAAUAGAGGGAGAAUGAUAUGUAUAUUUUGGAAUCUUGAAGUCGAUGAGGAAGAUGUUUUGGAGCACAUUCUUCGGAAUUUAGAUUGUGAUAGAAAAGUGAAUUUUAUUUUAAAAUCUUGACGCUGAAUAAAAUGCUUUGGGGUAAAUAUGUUCCCGGGGUACAAAUAUAAAAAGACAUAAAUAUAAAAUUGGAAACUAUGUUGAAAAAGUCUUUAAACAAUCAGAUAGUAUUCUUGAAACGUAUUAAUAUUCUUAAGACAUAUUGGUCUUCUUAGCACUUCUAUUAUCAGUAUUAGUUCUUUUUCAAGAGACUCUAGAGACAAACAAGAUUUCAUCAUGCCAAAGUAGCCUGUAUAAUCCAAGGGAAGCAAAAACUCGUCCCGCGUCAGUUAAACGCGACGCGUCGCCUGUCUAAUAGUCUGACCGGCGACGUCCUAUUCUACUUAGACCGCGAACGAGACACGCAUCGCUAUGAGCAGGAAUAAAUCAGAAUGAGUGUUCGAGCGCCAUAAGCACGAUGCCAGAAAGGGCCACGAACCUAUCGAAGGGACGAAGGUACACCGUCCAAGAUUAGCCGUUUGUCUCGCGUCUCACGUACAGGAUCGUCUUCCAAGUUUUUUCUAAGGCGCCGUUUAUCGUGCUGCCGUUCGCGAAACGCGGCCCUUUGCUCGCGAGGCAGAAGAAGCCGGGCAUUUUCGUGCGUUCCACGUGCCACAGAAAUGGUCGUUCGGGUUUCUUUUGCCCCUGGACUUUUGGCCAGCGCGCAUUUACCGAUGUUCACCAUGAAGAUCAACCGACUGGCGGUGAACACGACUGCCUUGUGCUCGAUGACUGUCAGAUGCGAGUUCAUUGGUAAGAAAUCGAUACUUCUGGACGUGUGUUUUCGUAGAACAGACAAGUUGAAGUAUGUUGUGAGUGUGUCAUCGAUUAAUCGGCCUUUGCUUUCAAUUUAGUUUUUGCCGACAGACCUGUUUUUGAGCUCGUGGAAUUUUUUGAACAUUCUUCUACUCUCCUACUUCUUGUAUUUUAGAGGAUUAGCAGAUUUUAAGGUUCACUAACCGAUUGUUAGAUAUAUCGCCAUAUACUUUCAGUAAUAAAUGGACUGUGAAUUUUGAUGCAUUUAUGGAAAAUUUACGGGCGCAACAAUUUACAAAAUGCAUGGAAUAUACAAAAGUAUAUAAGAUAUCUAAAGUAUAGUAUCUGUUGUAAUACUUGAAAAACCAGGAGAGAUGUUGAAACAAAAGUCAUUCGAAGAAGGAAAUAACCUCCUUAAAAACUCCAAGCUCAUGCUGACGCGACGAAACAAUUCAAGGACCGAACAAGCAACAAUAUCUCGACAAUUAAUGGAGCAAUUAAUCGAAAAAACCAUCGACACGACUUUCGACAAGGCGUUUCGAAAUGCAAGCAUCGACUCGAAUCACGGCACGCCGAUAUUCAAUGCAUGCGCAAUACACAACCGGGGCCGUAGUCUAUCGAUGUUUCCCUUCUCUGAAUGGUGGUUUUGUAUUUCGAGAAUGUUAAUAUGACGAAGCGUCUGCUAACGGCUGCCAGACGCUGAAUAAUCAAACGGAAUACCUAAGCGGCUCGAAUUUCUUCGCUCUUUGGAAGCGAACGAUGUUUAUUUCGAGGAACGAUGGUGCUGGCAAGUUUUCGAUAUGUGUCAGCAGUCUCAGCCUGCGAAUCGACGAAUCCGCACAUUUUCUACCGAUCUCGUGCAAAAUCAAUUUCCUCCUUUUUUAUCUAUUUCUGUUGAGACGUAAGAAUAAAAUCGGAAUUGUAAACUGAGAUUUCUAAGCAGUUGACCAACACCGAUGACGAUGGUUCUGAAAUUUCAGACGCACCCCCAAUAAAAUCGAGAACUGUUGCUCCGUCGCGAGAUCCCUUCGGAUUUUAUAGCCAAGAUCAAUCAUUUAGGUAGGUAAUCGUAGAUGCGGACUGGCAACACCAACGAAAACGCAAUUAUCGAAAAUUAUUUUGCACGCUUAUUGUUAGUACUCUAUGCAAAUCACCUGGAAGCCAGCCAUUCAUGAAACAAUGAGAACAAUUCGAGUCCGCUGUCUACAAAAUACACGCACAACGCACAAAGAGUACAGAACAUAUUUGUAAGAAUCAUUCUUGACACCACUCGCGGCUACAGUUUGCGAAAAUGACAUGUGGAAGCCGAAAGACAGACAUUAUGACCCAUAUUGUAGAACUCACUCAUGUGAAGAACACUGAACAAAACACACAACAAUACACUAAUUAACAAAAUAGCAAGAUACAAUCGUAACGAAUUCCUAUUCAAAAUCAGAAAGAACACCUAUCCCACAAUUUAUUACUCAGAAACCUAAUGCCACUUGAUUUAAUUCAGACGCGUACAGGUUUUUGGAAAUAUUUCCUGUCCACACACAUUGAAGCUCAAGAAGCCAAUCCUAAUUGUCAAUAAAUCUACACCUACACUUACAGGUUUUAAGCGCGUAAUAAGGCGAACUUUAACUGCCUAAGGCAUCGCAUCAAACAUACUCAGACGAAAGAAAAAGAAAGGAAAGACACUUAGUAUUCUCAACGCAAUUGUGUAACAUAAAACUCGACUCUUGACCAACUCGGCUAAACCUACUCGCUCGAAAUUGUAAUUUAUAAUAAUUCGAGUUGUGAGUGAAUACGUGAUAUCUUCUCAAUCGCGACGAAGAACGCGGUAUACAACGAUUUUCUUCAACAGAUCGAUCGAAAUUGUACCGCGUUUGUGUUCUUUGAUCUUAUUAUUUUAUAUUUUGAUCGAUACGUCCGGUCGACGAGAAGCGAGGAUGUUGAAAGGUUCGCAGAGGUUCGAUUGCGAAACGAACAAACCGAUUUCUUGGAUUCAACGUGGAACAUAUUGUCCCGCUAUUCUUAGAACGGAUCAAGCUUACUUACAGCGUUGUCCGUCUAGAUUUACAUAGGUUGGCCCGUGGCACACUAACACCAUGAGCAUACACGUCGAAUCGUAUCGAUCUACGCCAGUCACGAUCGACCAUUGUUCCUGUAAGCUCUUUCGCGGCUGACACUUCGUUCGGAAACCUUGCUCGCCGCGUGUAAUCCGGUAUUUACAUAUUCCCAAAUGCUUGCACGAGUUGCGGAUCACGGCUGAACUCUGCACACCGUCCUAGCGCCUCGCUCCUUUCUUUAAAAUUGGUUUAACUUGCGAGAGUAGCUUUGGAGAUGCAAAAUACCGCUUAUUGAUGGUACGAGCAUUUUCGCGAGUUAAGAACCAGAGAGUUCCAAUCUGCGCAUAAUAACAGAUCGAGAUGCACAUUCACUGCAAAAGAAAUAUAAAAAAUGAACAAUUAAAUAAAUUGAUUAGCCUUCUUCUUUCUUCUUUUCAACAAAAGUGAAAAAUUAUUUGGAAGCUUACAAAACAAUUAAUUACCAAACGUAAUUGUUACAAAAAAUAGACUCUAAGAAACAAUAGUAUAAUAUUAUUUUUGUAAUUUCCUAUUUUUUACACUUGAAAUCUUCUUUUCACGUUUUUAAUGAUUUUCUAAUACAAACCGAUUUAUUUUCCAUUGUGUCUUGAAAUACACCUGAGAAAUUUGAAAUAUGAAAUACGAAGUAUCGAACAAACGAAAUACACAGACCGAUCUAUCCUCCUCAAAUUCCUGUGAAAUCCAAUUCCACAUUCCUACCCCAUCAAAACGUGCAUCCAGAACGAGUCAGAACACGUGACCAGUUACAGCCCCGGGGCGAUAUAAUUCCCGUGUCGGCAUAGAAGUACGUAGCUCGCGUGGGAUUGGAUAAGGGCACGAAGCACGGCCAAUUUGGGUUAAUAACGCUCCUCGGUUAAAUCUACUACAAGAAAGACAGAACACCGUCGACACGUUUUCUCAGUCGCGUUCUUCAUCCUCGGGUUACGACUAUUACGGUGCGCAGUAUGGUGUGGAGUUUAUAUCAUGACUCUCCCUACGCUUUCGUAAAAUUUAGUAAUAUCUUUUUCUCUUUUGAAGUUUCUUACAAUCGAUUCUUUCGUCAAGAAGGCAACUUUAUUAAUUGCAUUGGGCUAUUAAUGUAUUUUAUAUAUGUAUACGAAACUUUUAUAUAUAAAACUGUUUGAGGCUAAUUAUUAGUUGUUAAAUAUGGUUAACAAUAAUUUAGUAAAAUAUUUAGUAAAAGUGUAAAUAAACAUUCGUUCACCGUCUAACGAUCGAACAUUUGCACUUGAAUGUUGCAUUUUAUUAUUGUAUUUAAAAGAAUACAAGAUGAUUACCAAACUGGAGAUCUCUCAGCCGAGAAACUUACAAUUAGCUAGUGUUUGGAUGAUAAAAGAAAAUUAAGUACGAAGUGAAAUUGUGUAUGGAAUGAUUCGCGAAACAACGAAUUGGAAGUUUCUCACUUCAAGUGAUCAUAACUUGCGAAAAGAAUGCAUGGAGUGCAAGAAAUUGAAUCCUAUUCUGUAAAGGAAAGUGGAUAUUUAUAUAGCAUGUAAAAGCAUAUUGGACAAAUUGUUAAUUAAUAACCAGACAAAAGAUGCGUAUGCAUUUUUGGCUUAAGGUUUCACAAAUCUACAAAAUGCAUAUAACAUGUAAGAAUAUACGAAACAUUCAAAGUAAAAAACUUGUUGUUGUGUCGUACCUACAUGUUUAUAAAGAUAUAAAAUUGCAUAAACAUUCGCAUAAAUUGUUAUCAAUUUCUAUUAACAAAAUGCGAUAAGUUAUUACAUUAUAACUUACUUCCAAAACAAAAUGGAAUAUAAUAAAUACGAAGAACCAUCGUUAUAUUUUAUUCUUUUUUUUCGGUCGAUACUUUCUCAAUCAAUCAUUGACGACAAAGUAUACGAUAUAUGAUAUUUUCUUACAAUUUUAGGCUCAAAACGGUACAGAUUUGGCACUUUUUAACCACGUCCUUUCCCUACAAAUCCAUAAACAUCCGCUACGUAAGGUACGUAAAGGUACUCGUUUACUCUAGAGUUAAACAAUCGUGAGUUGCUCUCGAGGGUGUUUCUCGCAAGUGGAUACCGCUUUGAGAGCGACUCUCAUUCUCUAUCCUAUCUGAUAGUGACUCGGAUAGUCGUGUUUCUCAACGUAGUGUUCACUUACGAGAAAUACUCUCGAGAGCACCUCGCGAUAGUUUUACUCUUGAGUGGACGCGUACUUCGACGAUUACCCUCUCGGUCCACCUUAGAUAGGAGAGAGGCGGAAAGCAAUGAGCGAGCGUGCGCUCGCGUGGCCGUGUGUGGGUCGAGAAACCGGAGUUAUUUAUGAAGUGUACCACGGGGAGAGGCACGACCGUGGGGCCGCCUAUCUGAUGCUCUUAUUUCGUUGUUUGCUCCCAAGCGCGUAAUACCGAGCUAGAAAAGCGCGACACGUGCGCUUGCUGCCCGUGCGUCGCGCGUCUUCCGCUCCGCCGUGUGCUCCGCCGAUACGCCACGUGGGUGAGCGUGUAGAAACCCGAUAGAGAGUUAGACUCUCCAGUUAGAUAUAGUCGUGUCGAGGGAAUCGUCGCGAACAAUGUGAGCCUGUUCCAGGUUCGGGUGUUCCUAAGCGACCCCGAGAUUCCGACGUGACACUGACCAGCUUCGUGAUGAAUUUCAACGCUGCCUUCGCUUCGGACCCUGUUUCUCGUGCCAUUAAUGAGCCAGUCAAUUCUUUGUAGGUGUGGUUCUAUCUGGGUUAGAGUUUGAGCACACAUUUCCAGUAAUUUGGCGGUGUUUGGAGUUGUGAGGAAUUUUGCAAGCUCCGAAAAAUUUUUCAGCUUCAUAUUAAACAUUUCCUCGAAACGUCAUAAAUUCUUUCUCUUUGUUAAAAUGAGAACGAGAUUGAAAUACAAAGAUUUGAGGAUCGUAGCAGGGUUAAAAUUCUUCUACCAAACAAGGAAAAAAAUUCACGACUAACUCGUCAUCGUGCCAUCAAACGUUAAUCCGUUCGCCAUAAUUACCAUCUAUCAGAACGUGACGUCUGCAUUAAGCCGAUGUCAAUGGCAAUUAAAAGUCUUUGGAAGCGAGGCUAUCAACGAGACGAUUAUUCAUCGACCUUCGAAAGCGGUUACUUAUCCGAAACAAUUCGAGUAUACUACACAGAAACAAGAAAUUCGAGCUCUGUUCGAUUCUGAAAUCGCGUGUAUCAUGCCACUAGUAAGAUACGCAGAGAUGAACACACGAAGCGAAACGUGGCGAAUACGAGAGCCAAAUAAGCCGAAAGCACGCCAUUAGCGUAUGUAAAUAUCUCGUUCGGACAGGAAUCAAUUACCUUGGUCGUCCUCCUGCGAUCCUUGCGCCGUUCCAUGCAUAGCAAUGAAGUCAGAAGAUGAGGAACCAACGGAAAGCACCGGUCAAACGAUGGACAGGAAAACCACUUAAAGCGUAAUUGCGCGUAAAACGUUCGAUAAUUCCGCGAACUAUAGCGGAGGUGUGAACGCGAGGAUUUUAAUUUACCAGCCUUUAAAUUUCACGUAAUCGUUGUUGACAGUUAAUUCGAUGGAAGUAUUGUGCCGAAUGCAUUUUGGUACAGACAACGAAUGAUGAGUAGGCUGUGAAUGAUUCUGGAUUUACAUAGGUUAGAUACUGUGACAAGUGUAGAUAAAUACGUGAGCAUGCGUUAUCCCAGGCCAUAAAUCUUAGGACAUGUACAAAUAAUUGGAUGUUCAAAUUAAACGUCCUCCAUUGUUUUUAUUUUCUAGUCAUUUUAUCGUAAAUGUGUAAUUUCAUUCGCAUCGCGUGUGCCUUAUAACGCAGAGUAUUAAAUAAUACAACAUUUGUUAAUGUUUUUCAUUGAA